This 343-nucleotide ribosomal RNA is filed under the name uncultured bacterium. Its description in RNAcentral is "bacterial SSU rRNA". It matches the Rfam family "Bacterial small subunit ribosomal RNA", at positions 90 to 426 of the family's 1533-position model. The record is from RNAcentral.
GAGGAGUGGCGGACGGGUGAGUAACACGUGGGUAACCUACCCAUCAGAGGGGGAUAACACUUGGAAACAGGUGCUAAUACCGCAUAACAGUUUAUGCCGCAUGGCAUAAGAGUGAAAGGCGCUUUCGGGUGUCGCUGAUGGAUGGACCCGCGGUGCAUUAGCUAGUUGGUGAGGUAACGGCUCACCAAGGCCACGAUGCAUAGCCGACCUGAGAGGGUGAUCGGCCACACUGGGACUGAGACACGGCCCAGACUCCUACGGGAGGCAGCAGUAGGGAAUCUUCGGCAAUGGACGAAAGUCUGACCGAGCAACGCCGCGUGAGUGAAGAAGGUUUUCGGAUCGU